AUUUUAAUUUUACUAACAUAUCUUUCAAUUUAUCGGGUUUGAGUCCGUCAACAAUAUUUUGACUUUAAAAUUUACGCUAAUAAGUUACUUUAAUAAAAUUAAUAGUUGUGAAAAUUGCAUAAGAUAUAUUAUACCUAAACAUGUAAAGAUGAACAAUAAAUUCAACUUUUGAUUUCAAAUUGUCGUUGACCAACUCAAAUCAAACAAAUUAAAUGGUUGAGUGAUAAAAUCAAAAUUUUGAAAGAUUGGAUAGCAUUU
This 258-nucleotide long non-coding RNA is filed under the name Ananas comosus (pineapple). RNAcentral's name for it is "long non-coding RNA (ACOM_LNC037808)". Lineage: Eukaryota; Viridiplantae; Streptophyta; Magnoliopsida; Poales; Bromeliaceae. The record is from RNAcentral.